UAGCCAGUCCUUGCCUGUUGCUGAGACUGAGGGGCAGAGGACCAGAUCUUUGUUAACUCAUUUCUCCUAUAUGUGGCUGUUGUGACAUGCUCAGACCAUGAUGCUGACACUUCCCAUGGUUUAUCACAGGCACCAUCCUCCUCAAAGCUCUCGAAAGGACACUCCCUACAUCCCAGGCAAGGCUUGAGCUGCCA
Molecule: long non-coding RNA, 194 nt
Organism: Lacerta agilis (Sand lizard)
Lineage: Eukaryota; Metazoa; Chordata; Lepidosauria; Squamata; Lacertidae
Exons: 3
Source: RefSeq, a predicted model, not a curated record